CUGCAGACACCGGAUCUACCGGAUUAUCUAAUACCAAAACUAAAGAUGCGAUUCAAAGAUGUAGAUAAAGCAAGGGAAUUUUAUAACAUAUACGCCAAACAUACUGGUUUUGGAAUCAGGAAGACAGGGGGAAAUGACAACCACAAGUAUUUUGUUUGCGCCUUCCAAGGGAUACACACAUCUUCUGUUUCAGAGGCUAACAGGAAGCGAAACAAAACAUCGCAGAGGACAUGCUGCAAUGCAUGAAUGAGGGUGAAGGUGCAAGAGGAUAACACAUGCGUGGCAGUGGACAUUGAGUACAAUCAUAAUCACAAACUCAUGCAAACUGAUGGCAUGCUAGUAUUUUUGCACUCACACAAGAAUUAUGACCCCACUAUUUUGGAGUACGUAAAGCUCCUGCAGUACCAUGAUGUCAAGCACACAACAAUCAUGUCCAUGCUAUCUGAAAAUGAAGAUGGAAGCUACUUCCUAAGCAUGACCGGACGAGACCUACUAAACCAGAAAGCCAUGAAUGCAAGGAAAGAUGAUUUGGAUGAUGUAUUGAAACUUGUUUCGUUCUUCAAAGACAUGAAGGCAAUCAAUGAUGAGUUUUUCUAUGACAUCCAAGUGGACAAGGACAAGUCAAUUAAAAACAUUUUCUGGUCCAAUGCAAGCUGCCGAGGAGCCUAUCAAGACUUUGGCGAUUGCAUAACAUUCGACACAACUUACAAGACCAACAGAUUUCAUAUGCCUCUGGGAGUGUUUGUUGGAACAAACCAUCACUUGCAGUCAACGAUAUUUGCUGUUGCCCUGAUAAGAGACAAAGAUGCAAAGUCAUUCAAGUGGCUGUCCGAUACAUUUGUACGGUGCAUGAACAACAAGCACCCAACUUACAUUCUAACAGACCAGUGCCCAUCGAUGGCGAAAGCUAUACCACAAUCAUUUCCAAACACCGUCCACAAGCUAUGCCGUUGGCACAUCAUGAAGAAGUACAGGGAAUACCUCGCGUUGCUGUACAAAAGUAAAACAUUCAAAGAGGAGUUCACAGCUAUAUUAAACUGGCCGCUGAUGCCAACGGAGUUUGAAGAUGCCUGGGCUGAACUCGUGCACAAGUACAACCUAGAGAACGACUAG
Molecule: ribosomal RNA, 1113 nt
Filed under: Triticum aestivum (bread wheat)
Lineage: Eukaryota; Viridiplantae; Streptophyta; Magnoliopsida; Poales; Poaceae
Description: partial small subunit ribosomal RNA
Source: RNAcentral